This 269-nucleotide ribosomal RNA is filed under the name uncultured prokaryote. Its description in RNAcentral is "partial 16S ribosomal RNA". It matches the Rfam family "Bacterial small subunit ribosomal RNA", at positions 524 to 792 of the family's 1533-position model. The record is from RNAcentral.
UACGUAGGGUGCGAGCGUUGUCCGGAAUUAUUGGGCGUAAAGAGCUUGUAGGCGGUUUGUCGCGUCUGCUGUGAAAAUCCGGGGCUCAACCCCGGACUUGCAGUGGGUACGGGCAGACUAGAGUGUGGUAGGGGAGACUGGAAUUCCUGGUGUAGCGGUGAAAUGCGCAGAUAUCAGGAGGAACACCGAUGGCGAAGGCAGGUCUCUGGGCCGCUACUGACGCUGAGAAGCGAAAGCAUGGGGAGCGAACAGGAUUAGAUACCCCGGUA